This is a small nucleolar RNA of Humulus lupulus (European hop), 107 nucleotides long. The record is from RefSeq and is a predicted model, not a curated record. Lineage: Eukaryota; Viridiplantae; Streptophyta; Magnoliopsida; Rosales; Cannabaceae.
AUACCAUGAUAAGCACAUUUUCUCAAUAGCUCCUUAAAACUUUCCCAAGAGUCAUAUAAAGAUUGCUCAUCUAACUGAUAGAAGUUAUGAAUCUCCUCCAUCAAUUU